GAUGAACGCUGGCGGCGUGCCUAAUGCAUGCAAGUCGAGCGAACGGACGAGAAGCUUGCUUCUCUGAUGUUAGCGGCGGACGGGUGAGUAACACGUGGAUAACCUACCUAUAAGACUGGGAUAACUUCGGGAAACCGUAGCUAAUACCGGAUAAUAUUUUGAACCGCAUGGUUCAAAAGUGAAAGACGGUCUUGCUGUCACUUAUAGAUGGAUCCGCGCUGCAUUAGCUAGUUGGUAAGGUAACGGCUUACCAAGGCAACGAUGCAUAGCCGACCUGAGAGGGUGAUCGGCCACACUGGAACUGAGACACGGUCCAGACUCCUACGGGAGGCAGCAGUAGGGAAUCUUCCGCAAUGGGCGAAAGCCUGACGGAGCAACGCCGCGUGAGUGAUGAAGGUCUUCGGAUCGUAAAACUCUGUUAUUAGGGAAGAACAUAUGUGUAAGUAACUGUGCACAUCUUGACGGUACCUAAUCAGAAAGCAACGGCUAACUACGUG
RNAcentral lists this ribosomal RNA (497 nucleotides) under uncultured bacterium. RNAcentral describes it as "partial 16S ribosomal RNA". It matches the Rfam family "Bacterial small subunit ribosomal RNA", at positions 28 to 507 of the family's 1533-position model. The record is from RNAcentral.